UUCUUCCCUGACCGCCCAUUCGUUAGCAGCUUCAAGACGUCCAUUGUCGUUCAACAUCAGAAAAGCACGGCGGCGCUACUAUCGCUUUCUUCCGUUUGCCGCCUUUUUGCUUUCUUUUCCCCCAUUUUGCCUCUUGUUCCUCGACCGUUAGCAGCGUCAGGUGUCCAUUAUCGUUCAACAUCAAAAAAGCACGGCGGCGCUACAAUCGCCGUUAUCCGCCAUCUUGCUUCCUUCCCUCCAAUUUGCCACUUGUUCCUAGUUCGUCAGCAGCGUCAGAGGUUCAUUGCCGUUCAACAUCAGAAAAGCUUGUAUGGACUUAAUGAAUAAAGAAAAUUGCGAGAGGUAGAAAAUGACAAUUGGAAAAAAUGUAUUAAGAUUCAAGGGAAUCUAUUACGCAAAAAUAAUUCACGACGAAAAUCGAACAAAAUUAUGACUUCAAUGGAUUUUAUUCGGAAACAUGCAGUAGGAGAAAUUUCGACUAUCAGGAUUCAACAAUCUAUUUAAAGAAAAUAGUUUCAACAUCUUUUGAAAACGCGUUAAAUUCGAUAAAACGCCUUGGAUGAUUGGAAGUUGAAUUUGGAGUUUCUAUUCCAAAAAAAAUAACGAUGAUGACUGACCAAAGGGAAUCUGGACCGCAAAUAGACGAAAAGAAGACUGAUAAACAUUACGCAGAAGAUGGACCCAAUUGAUGUUUACCCAGUGAAGGGAAGCGUAAUGUUUACCUGAAGAAGACGAAAUAAGAAGAAUAAGAAGACUGAUAGGCAUUGUGCUGUAGGUGGACCCAACUGAUGUUUACCCAGUGAAGGGUAGCAUAAUGUUUAUCCGAAGAAGACGAAAAGAAGACCGAUAAGCAUUACACUUUAGGUGGACCCAACUGAUGUUUACCCAGUGAUGGGAAGCGUAAUGUUUAUCAUCCAAAGAAGACAUAAAUCGCGUCGUCGCUUAUCGUAUAAUCGUUCACCAAUUAUCGCGAGAAGAAAAGUAUCUUUUUAAAUCGUAUUCGCGAUUCGCGUCGAAAAUAAUAGGGAAAGUAUUGUUUUUCAAAAACUAAACAUUUUUAUGAACGAAAUUAUUCUGUUUUUUUUACUAAAUCAACAUAAUCUAAAUUUAAUUUUAUGUUUAUAAAUUACUUUAUCCUUAUUUUAUAAUUAAUUACUUGUUUAAAUUAUUUAACUUUACUUCUUUUUUUUAAUUCUAAAAAAUUAGAGAAUAAUUUCGUUCAUUGAAUGUUUAAAAGUUGAAAAUAAGUUUCGGAGUGUUGCAAAUAGACAAAUAGUGAUCAUUCGAUAAAGGAUUCAAGACUGGAUUGGAUAGUACACACUUGAUUCAUCAUUGAUGCAAGACUGGAUUGGAUAGCAUAGUCUUAAUUCAUUGCUGAUUCUCUGAAGUCUGUGGUAGCCUAAAGAGAAAAAGUUGGAGGAUCAAGGGAUGCAAUAGUAAAAAAAAAAUCAUUGGAAAAUUGUGGGGCUUUUGUUCAUCAAUAUUUGUCAGGAAAAGGUUAAAGUCACACCAAUACGUCUACAUGGUGGAGCUGUUUCAACUUGGUCAUCAUCCACGAAUCAUAUUACGGCCCCUCGUCGUUUCAAUUCUGCCGCCUAUUCAACAGAUAUCACCACCAAUCAGGGCCCGGCGUGGCGAUCAGGCAGGUAAGAAAAUUUUUUUUUUCGCUAUUUAAUAGCAUUGUGUAAAAAAAAGUAUUUUUAACUUCUUCCCAAUACUUUCAAUUUCUCGUUUCUGUAAAAAAUAAUUUACAAAUAAGAAAAAAAAACUUUAAAUAAUUAUUUAUUGAUGCUUUUUAUUCAUUAUUUAUCAUAAAAUUUAUUUUUUAUCCCACUUAUUGAUAAAAGUAUUUUUUUUUUUGAAUUUAUUUAUGUAAAUUGUUAAUUAAAAAAAUUUAACAUUUUUUGUUACAUGAACAAUCACACUGCGGUGGCGAUUUUUCACAAAAAAAUUGUGAAUGAUGCAGUUCAACAUGGACACCACCAGUUACAAAAAUGAAACAAAAAAUCAAAAAAUGAUUUGCCGAAGAUAAUGGACGAGGAUGACGACUGCCACCACUACUACUACUACUAAUCAACAACAACAUCAACAUCGGAAUAUUUGAUAAUGACAAUUGUUACUCUUAGCUGACAGUAUAGAAAACAUUCGCAGGCGCUUCUCACGAGGAGCCCUUGUUAUACGAUGUGCUUUUUUGCAUAACUAUAACAUAACUGAGUCAACGUUUUGACUAAGAACUGAUUUAGUGGAAAUUAAUACUACUGUUAUUCCUCGAGAAAACUAUUAUUGUCUAGUCAAAUAUUCCAUCUCUUUUUUUGAUAAAAAACGGAAUUUGGACUUGAUCUAAAUUCCUGUUUAGGAGAACUCCUAGAGUGUGCACGUUGCAUCAAAUUCCAAGUUGGAUCCUCUGCCAAGACGUUUUGACACCACUUUUUAAAUUUUAGUGAAAAACUAAAUAUUCAAUUAAAAAUGAUAAAACUACAGUUUCAAAAUGUUAAGUUAAAAUCAGUAAGAUUGUUUUAAAUCUGUAAUAAAAACCUUAAAAGGAUAAAAUUAAA
Molecule: long non-coding RNA, 2555 nt
Organism: Leptopilina boulardi
Lineage: Eukaryota; Metazoa; Arthropoda; Insecta; Hymenoptera; Figitidae
Exons: 10
Source: RefSeq, a predicted model, not a curated record